This 440-nucleotide ribosomal RNA is filed under the name uncultured bacterium. RNAcentral's name for it is "partial 16S ribosomal RNA". It matches the Rfam family "Bacterial small subunit ribosomal RNA", at positions 338 to 795 of the family's 1533-position model. The record is from RNAcentral.
CCUACGGGAGGCAGCAGUGGGGGAUAUUGCACAAUGGGGGAAACCCUGAUGCAGCGACGCCGCGUGAGUGAAGAAGUAUUUCUGUAUGUAAAGCUCUAUCAGCAGGGAAGAAAAUGACAGUACCUGACCAUGAAGCCCCGGCUAACUACGUGCCAGCAGCCGCGGUAAUACGUAGGGGGCAAGCGUUAUCCGGAUUUACUGGGUGUAAAGGGAGCGUAGUCGGUUAUGUAAGUCUGGAGUGAAAGCCCGGGGCUCAACCCCGGGACUGCUUUGGAAACUGUGUAACUGGAGUACAGGAGGGGCAGGCGGAAUUCCUGGUGUAGCGGUGAAAUGCGUAGAUAUCAGGAAGAACACCGGCGGCGAAGGCAGCCUGCUGGGCUACAACUGACGUUGAGGCACGAAAGCGUGGGGAGCAAACAGGAUUAGAUACCCGGGUAGUC